Molecule: long non-coding RNA, 1122 nt
Filed under: Gopherus agassizii (Agassiz's desert tortoise)
Lineage: Eukaryota; Metazoa; Chordata; Testudines; Testudinidae
Description: lncRNA (ENSGAGG00000007114.1)
Source: RNAcentral
CUGUUCCUCCAAACUUUAGUUUCUAAGUAUGUUACACAAGUCUUCGUCAUUGAUAUCUCUGAAGGAAGUGACCCCUAUAGAAACUGGCCUGAUCGGGAAUCUCAGCCUUUGUACAAGUCUUCGUCAUUGAUAUCUCUGAAGGAAGUGACCCCUAUAGAAACUGGCCUGAUCGGGAAUCUCAGCCUUUGUACAAGUAGCACAAACUCUGGGGUACUAUUCCUCUUAUUAAUCAUUUGCAUUAUGGUAAAAAUCAUAACCAAGAUAGCGGUCCUGUUAUGCUGGGUGCUAUUGAAAACAAAAACAGUAAGAUGCAGUCCCAAAGAUCUUACAAUCUAAAGAAGGCCAAGGUCUGAGAAAGGGGAGGUACUGCUUUCCAUAUUUUACAGAUGGGAGUGGAAGCAUGGAGAUUAAAUGCCUUGCCCACGGUCACAUAGGAAAUCUAGGUUCAAUUCCCAAGUCUGCUACAGAUCUGAGUUCUAGUCCAGUCUCUUAACCAUAAAACCAUUUGUCUAUUUAAGGCCCUGAUCAGCAAGGUACGGAAAGAAGUACAUUGCUUCAUUUGAAUCAUAUGAGUAGUCCUAUUAGUGUGACUGUUAGGCACAUCCUAAAACAGCUCGCUGGAUCAAGGGCAAUGCCACUCCCUUCGAAUCAAUGUAACAACAUUUGUGCAUUUCAGGGGUUCUAGACUGAUAGUUUAUAUUGUGGUCUGUGUGCCUCCCAUUCCCUAGAGCAGGGGUCGGCAACCUUUCAGUAGUGGUGUGCCGAGUCUUCAUGUAUACACUCUCUAAUUUAAGGCUUCGCGUGCCGGUAAUACGUUUUAAGUUUUUUUAGAAGGUCUCUCUAUAAAUAGAGCCUUUUGGUGGCAGUCUGCACAAUGAAAUAUUUUGGGAACCAUAUAGUGGAGGAGGAGGUGUGUGAUGUACUCCACUAGACUGUUUCUUUACCAAAAUGUUUUGUUUCAAAUUUAUAUCUUUAAGGGCUUAAGACACUGCUAUGUUAGUACAUUGGUCUAAACAUGGUUGAAAGAACAACCUCUUUAGGAAUGUGAAUACACAUUUCAAAUUUAUAGUAAUGUAUAAUUUUUCAAAUAAAUUUGUGCAGAUAGUGACUGUUUUGAUCUGC